AUCUUUGUUGAGGGCUAAGGCUGGCCAUGGUCCGUUAUUUUAAGCGGGAGUUUGGGGGUCCGGCCACUUACGGACCCUCAGAGUUCAUAAAUUGCUCGAUGCUUUCCAGGAUAAUGACCACGAACACUACAGUCUAUUCUUCCAAAAGACUUGCUUCGCUUUGACUUGAAAUUCACCAGAUAAUCCUAUGCUGUCUCCCUUUAGAAAAAUCCUUACCUGUAGAACCCCAACUCCAGUAGUAAUUUGCACACUUAAUUUAAAACAAGCUCAUUCCUAUGAGCCAAGUGGUCAGCAACACUUACUCGCCAGACUCUCCUAGUGAUUCUUUUUUACCUUUAGGUCUCAAAUGCACUUAACAUCAGUAAACUGAGGCCGGGAGAGACAAAACGACUCUCCCGAAGUCAUGCACAGUAAGCCUGUGAACUGGAGGCAGGUCUGGGGCGCCAGCCAGCAGCGUCGCGACUCCGCAAAGUCCCGCUGCCUUUCCUAAAGCACAGAGCCAUCACCAAACAUCUGGAUAACUGGGGCAGAGCUUGGCCAGAGGACCCAGACUUCGUCUCCCCAUCUCAAGGUUGCUCUACCGUCCUCUACAGGGUGUCAGAAGAGUCCUGCAUGAAAAUAACUUGAAAAGAUGGAUCUUCAACCACCCCCAGAAUCAGCAAUAAAAUAACACCCUGAAAGACAGAGUGGGCAGGAACCUGUUGGCUCCAGGGAAGGCGCAGUGCUUGAAGCCCAGGAGCCAACAGUUCUUGACAGUGCUAACUGCAGCCGGUGAGAUGAGUGUGUCCAAAAGUAGGGAGCUGCUUCUGCCACUGACUCUCUGGGAUGUUUGGCCAACCACUCCUCUGCGCUGGGCCUCAGUUUCUACAUCUGUAAAAUAAGAGGGUCGGACUGGAUGGAUAUCUCAGGACCUCACAGCUCUGAAGGCUAUUUCUUAGUGGGGUUUUUUUUUUCAAUGCUACUGAUGCACAGCCAACUCUAUGCUGAUGAGGGAGGCUGGGUUACAAAUCAUCACUUCUCAAAUGAAGGAACUAACUUUCCAUCCAGCGGAUGAAACCCUUGAGCAAGGAAACAAGGAAGAAGUCUUACCUUCCGGAGUAGGUCUACUAGUACCCCCAUGUCACUUACAGAUGAGGAUACUGAGGCCGAAAGAGGAUUGCUCUAAUUCACAGCCUGAAAAUGGCAGUACGUGUCUUUGCGACACUUACCAGUGAAAAACUACCAUACAGCAUGCUCAGUCACUCAUUCAUUUCAUAAUAUGUAUUGAGCUCUUUUAGGUACCGGGGCCUCUGCUUGGCCAUGGGAUGAAAGAUGAACAGUCCCAGCCCUCAAACUGGACAGAUAACGUAAUAGUAGAGGGUCUCUUUUCCUCCCCCUGCUUCUUCCUCAUCUUUUCUUCUUCGUCAUCAUCUUUAUCAUGAAUGAAUGUUGGAUUUUUUUCCUGCAUAUACCGACCUGAUUAUCAUAUGAUUUUUCUUUUUCAAUCUGUGUGCAUUAUGUUGAUUGAUUUUCAAAUACUACACCAAUCUUUCAUUCAUGGGAUAAACCCCAGAUGGUCAUGAAGUACUAUCUUUUUUAUAUGUUGUUAUAUUUAAUUAGCUUAAUUUUCUAAUAUAUCCUAUUAUUGGGUGACUGUUCUAUGUCAAUUAAGUCAAGUUGGUGACAAUGUUGUUCAAGUGUUCUGUUUUUACUAAUCUUCUGUCUCCUUGUUCUAUACAUUAUUUAGAGGGGGUUGCAGUCUCCAGCUAUAAUUGUGGAUUGGCCUGUUUCUCUUUUCAGUACUAACAAUUUUUGCUUCACGUAUUUUGAAGCUCUUACUAAGUGCAUAAACAUUCAUGAUUGCUGUAUCCUCCUGAUGAAUUUUUUUUACCAUUAUGAAAUAAAGGUAGUGGAUUUGUUUUAUUUAGUAUAGAUAUCACCAAGUUAUGGUGUUUCCUUCCAAACAUUUUCUAUAUUUUCCAACAUAGUUGAAAUCAUGUUUUAUCUACCAGUUUAUAUCUUAUUAAAAAUUUUCACUAUGAAAUGUCAUCUAUAUACCAAAGUAUAUGUGUGUGUAUAAACGC
Molecule: long non-coding RNA, 2063 nt
Organism: Phyllostomus discolor (pale spear-nosed bat)
Lineage: Eukaryota; Metazoa; Chordata; Mammalia; Chiroptera; Phyllostomidae
Exons: 3
Source: RefSeq, a predicted model, not a curated record